UCCAGUGUGUAGUGUUCACGGGACGGGACUGUCUCGUCUUCGUUCCUGUUGUCGGUUUGUUGUUUUUGUUCGGUGUGUAAGUAUUCCCCUUAAAUAUGGAUUUUCAUCACGUUGCAUUUUGGUCCUCCUCUCUUUCACCCGAAGACAGUCGUUACAAGUGGCAUUUCUCUUUUCCCUCGGUCACACCACAGUCUCGCGGCCAGGGUCAGGGUCUGAGAGCUGGCUGUCUGAGGAGGGUGGUCUGGUCUGCUCCUCCCCUCCCUCUCCUGUGUCUGAAAACUGCAGUGGAGGCCCAGAGGGAAGCUGAAAGGGCUCAGGGAAGGCAUGGAAGUGGACAGGAGAUGGCCCCAGCUCUGUCUCGCCUGGGAUGCCAGAUGAUGCUGACUGAGUUGGCUUGCUGACCCUGAUGUCCUCAGCUCAGCCUCGAUGUAGCCUGGACUUCAUUCUCCUCCACGUCCAACGUCCGUGUAGCACACACUUGGGCGAUGCCUCUGCCACAGCGCAAUAAGCCCACCACGCAUCAGUCCUAAGUUGUCCACUACGGUCCUCACUGGGAGCGCUCUGCUAUUUCCACACUGCAGUCGGGUCUCAUUGAUCAAGAAGCAGCCGGUGCUGAGAUUUAAAUGCAUGCCAACAUUAGCCAGCUAGCAAAACCAGACAAAUCAAUCUGCCAUCAGUCCUGCAACUCCGUGGGUAAAAAACAACCAGAUAUAUACAAUCAACAAUUCAAUGACUUAUCAAAAACUAGAAUAUGUACAACAUUCCAGAGCUCUCUGUUUAGGCUGCCUUACGACGCGUUGGAAACCACAGAACCAGUAUCCCUGGAUCAUGUGUAGUACUUACCAUAGAAUUGUAGAAUACUGUGGGGGCUUUCGUUAAUUCACUCUGGCUAUCUAUUACAAUUUCAGAGCACUCUCGUCUGAGUGCGCCAGAGCGCAGAAUAACUGAUGAAUUUACAAACGCGCAACACCCGUUGAAUAUAAAGGUUGGCAAAAAAAAAAACGAAUUCAAUUGUCAGCAACACAGUCACCAACGCUCUAUAUAACGUGAAAACAGCCUAACCAGCUCUGCUAGGGCAAGAAAAGGUCAGAGUGAGGUGUUCUCUCAUUUGUGUCUGGAAGUAUCUAGCAAGCUAGCCAACUUUAGCUUGUUAGCUUGAAUGCCAUUGCGGGGUCAGAAUGCUCAGGUCAAUCCUACUCCUCAGCCAAAGCGUCCAGUGUGCACUCUGAACAAAAUGCUCUGAAUUUAUGAACUGACAACAAUCUGAAUUUAUGACCGCCCAGAGCCCACUUUGGCACUCCAGUGGGAAUAAGGAACACACCCAUUAGUACACGCUGUAGUAGUAUUCCUCAAUUGUGUAGUUCUUACGCUAUCAUUUUGUAGUAUACUGUACAAUACUACACAACAAAUUAUCCAGUGUUCAUUUUUUAUUUAACUUUGAGCGUGUUAAAUCAACACUGAAAGUGUUGCGUCUGUGGACCCAUAUAGACACCUGAACAGUGUUGAAUUAAAUCACACUGCUUAGUGCCUUGCCUUUUCAAGUAAAUUGUAGAGUUACAUGACUGUAUUUGUUAGUGACAGAGACAUGGUUGUUGCAUUCAUCCUUUUUUGGCCCCAUUGGCUUCACGAAUAUGUUACUAUAAAAAAAAAAUAUUUUGAGGGCCUCGUUUUAUCCUAAUACAGGGGCCUGAAUCUCCUACAUAUCACUUUGAACCAAAACCACUGUCACCUUCGUGAUGAGAGACGGACCAGGGCGCAGCAUGAUUUGAGUUCCACAUUUUAUUUCACGGUGAAACUUCCAAUAAAACAAACAACGAAACGUGACUUACCUGGUGCAACAAGCACAUACAAACAAUAUCCCACAACCCAGGUGGGAACAAUGGAGAACUUAAGUAUGAUCCCCAAUUAGAGACAACAAUUAGCUGCCUCUAAUUGGGAACUAUACAACAAAACAAACAUAGAAAUAGGAAAACUAGAACAUCCCCCUAGUUACGCCCUGUCCUACAACACCAUAGAGAACCCCCAGGGCUCUCUAUGGUCAGGGCGUGACAGGGCGUGACAUUUUAUUGCCUUAGUACCUGACUUGCAAAUCUUAGACCACCUUUUUUGCAAAAAAAUUAAACAAAUGUCAUCAGUGAAUACAAAAUUCAUUGUUUUGUGUUUGGUUGACAUAAUAAUAAAGGUGCAUAAAUGGCUCCACCAUUUCCUGGUUGCUAAAAUUCUAAUAGUUUGCCUGAUUUCAGUUUUGUUGACAAAACAAGCAAUGCAUAGUGUAAGGAAUCAUUGCACCAUCUAAACCGCCGUGAAAUAUCUUUUCAAACACCAGAAAUAUUGUAUUUUCAGCUGUUUGAAGCAGGUAUAUAAAACCAAAAGUAAAAGACGCAAAAAACGAAGCUUAAAAAACGUGAAGCAUGGAAAUAGUUCACAAAGAACAAAUCUAACACUUCUUACACCUUGCUUUUAAUGAGAAUGACAAAUCUAUAACUCACGUUUACAUGUGAAUUUGGUCGGGUAACCCAAAAAGUUACAUAUUGCAGCUUUAACACAUUGUUUUCAUCAGAAGAGAAAUGUGUACAAUUGUAUUCACUGUUUCAGGCAAUAUGUACAUACUACUGCACAAAAUUCUAAAUCAUCCAAUCACUGUCAUAUAUGGAAAGACCUAGGCAAUGGUGACUGUCCAAUUGUUAUGAUCUUUUAAAAUUUCGCAGAGAUGCAGAGAAUGAAGUUGGUUUACUUUUAAGUAACUUUGGGUUACUCCUAAAUCCUCGUGUCCAACAUUGUGACCUUCCUUAGAGCUUUUCUUUGGUGUGGAUUUAGGCCUAUACAUUUAUAUCCUUGUGUUUCUCCACUGUGUUCACCAAUCCUUAGUUCUAUUGUGGAUUGUGUUUCUGUGCGCCAAUGGAAAGUCUACAAAACUAUGAGCAAACAAAACGUUGUAUUGAAUACAUGGAAUUGAGUUGUGAUGAUACCGAUGAAUGAAUCCUGCACACAAUGUGUUUAUUUUUGAUUAAAUGUUUUUUUUAAACCGA
Oncorhynchus gorbuscha (pink salmon) is the source of this 3029-nucleotide long non-coding RNA. RefSeq lists it as uncharacterized. The transcript is spliced from 3 exons. NCBI's taxonomy places the organism in Eukaryota, Metazoa, Chordata, Actinopteri, Salmoniformes, Salmonidae. The record is from RefSeq and is a predicted model, not a curated record.